CGGAACGUGCCCAAUCGUGGGGGAGUAACGCAGCGAAAGCUGUGCUAAUACCGCAUACGAUCUACGGAUGAAAGCAGGGGAUCGCAAGACCUUGCGCGAAUGGAGCGGCCGAUGGCAGAUUAGGUAGUUGGUGAGGUAAAGGCUCACCAAGCCUUCGAUCUGUAGCUGGUCUGAGAGGACGACCAGCCACACUGGGACUGAGACACGGCCCAGACUCCUACGGGAGGCAGCAGCU
Molecule: ribosomal RNA, 235 nt
Filed under: uncultured Variovorax sp.
Lineage: Bacteria; Pseudomonadati; Pseudomonadota; Betaproteobacteria; Burkholderiales; Comamonadaceae
Description: partial 16S ribosomal RNA
Rfam family: Bacterial small subunit ribosomal RNA
Source: RNAcentral